Molecule: ribosomal RNA, 497 nt
Filed under: uncultured bacterium
Lineage: Bacteria
Description: partial 16S ribosomal RNA
Rfam family: Bacterial small subunit ribosomal RNA
Source: RNAcentral
GAUGAACGCUGGCGGCGUGCCUAAUACAUGCAAGUCGAGCGAACGGACGAGAAGCUUGCUUCUCUGAUGUUAGCGGCGGACGGGUGAGUAACACGUGGAUAACCUACCUAUAAGACUGGGAUAACUUCGGGAAACCGGAGCUAAUACCGGAUAAUAUUUUGAACCGCAUGGUUCAAAAGUGAAAGACGGUCUUGCUGUCACUUAUAGAUGGAUCAGCGCUGCAUUAGCUAGUUGGUAAGGUAACGGCUUACCAAGGCAACGAUGCAUAGCCGACCUGAGAGGGUGGACCGCCACAUUGGAACUGAGAAACGGUCCAGACUCCUACGGGAGGCAGCAGUAGGGAAUCUUCCGCAAUGGGCGAAAGCCUGACGGAGCAACGCCGCGUGAGUGAUGAAGGUCUUCGGAUCGUAAAACUCUGUUAUUAGGGAAGAACAUAUGUGUAAGUAACUGUGCACAUCUUGACGGUACCUAAUCAGAAAGCCACGGCUAACUACGUG